GUGAAGUAUCUGGAUGAGUGUUGAACUCCCCUGUGCUUACAGGCUGGUGGCAUCUAGAAAAACUUGGAUCAUGAGAAUAUACGCUUUCUCUCCAGUCUCCCAACUCUGUGGACAAGAUAGAAAUCCUGUGUGAUGAUUCUUUGUAAGAGCAGAACGAAGAUGCACGGCAUGAGAAGAUGCUUUCUUGCAACGAACACCAGCAAGACAAGUGUAACCCUAUCAUGUCAGUGAUCCACAUCUUCCCAUCUGAGAGCCAAAGUGUGUGGCCAAAAAAAGAGUGCGAUAGUUUCAAAUAAACCCGUUUUUUCCCCUCUAA
This is a long non-coding RNA of Prionailurus viverrinus (fishing cat), 316 nucleotides long. RefSeq lists it as uncharacterized. The transcript has 2 exons. The record is from RefSeq and is a predicted model, not a curated record. Lineage: Eukaryota; Metazoa; Chordata; Mammalia; Carnivora; Felidae.